This 406-nucleotide ribosomal RNA is filed under the name uncultured bacterium. Its description in RNAcentral is "partial 16S ribosomal RNA". It matches the Rfam family "Bacterial small subunit ribosomal RNA", at positions 29 to 526 of the family's 1533-position model. The record is from RNAcentral.
AUUGAACGCUGGCGGCAGGCCUAACACAUGCAAGUCGAGCGAGCGGCGGACGGGUGAGUAAUGUCUGGGAAACUGCCUGAUGGAGGGGGAUCACUCCUGGAAACGGUAGCUACUACCGCAUACCCUCAGAUGUGCCCAGAUGGGAUUAGCUAGUAGGUGGGGUAACGGCUCACCUAGGCGACGAUCCCUAGCUGGUCUGAGAGGAUGACCAGCCACACGGGAACUGAGACACGGUCCAGACGCCUAAGGGAGGCAGCAGUGGGGAAUAUUGCACAAUGGGCGCAAGCCUGAUGCAGCCAUGCCGCGUGGAUGAAGAAGGCCUUCGGGUUGUAAAGUACUGUCAGCGGGGAGGCGUUACCCGCAGAAGAAGCACCGGCUAACUCCGUGCCAGCAGCCGCGGUAAUAC